Molecule: ribosomal RNA, 253 nt
Filed under: uncultured bacterium
Lineage: Bacteria
Description: partial 16S ribosomal RNA
Rfam family: Bacterial small subunit ribosomal RNA
Source: RNAcentral
UACGGAGGGUGCAAGCGUUAUCCGGAUUCACUGGGUUUAAAGGGUGUGUAGGCGGUCUGUUAAGUCAGUGGUGAAAUCUCCGGGCUCAACCCGGAAACUGCCAUUGAUACUAUCAGUCUUGAAUCUUGUUGAGGUAGGCGGAAUAUAUCAUGUAGCGGUGAAAUGCUUAGAUAUGAUAUAGAACACCGAUUGCGAAGGCAGCUUACUAAACAAGCAUUGACGCUGAGGCACGAAAGCGUGGGGAUCAAACAGG